GACGGAGGAUGCAAGUGUUAUCCGGAAUCACUGGGCGUAAAGCGUCUGUAGGUGGUUUAGUAAGUCGAUUGUUAAAUCUUGAGGCUCAACUUCAAAACAGCAAUGGAAACUGCUAGACUUGAGUAUGGUAGAGGUAAGAGGAAUUUCCAGUGGAGCGGUGAAAUGCGUAGAUAUUGGAAAGAACACCGAUGGCGAAGGCAUUUUACUGGGCCAUAACUGACACUCAGAGACGAAGGCUAGAGUAGCAAAUGGGAUUAGAUACCCCAGUAGUUCUAGCUGUAAACGAUGGAUACUCGAUGUUGCACGUUCGUCGCAGUGUCCUAGCUAACGCGUUAAGUAUCCCGCCUGGGAAGUAUGCUCGCAAGAGUG
RNAcentral lists this ribosomal RNA (369 nucleotides) under uncultured phototrophic eukaryote. Its description in RNAcentral is "SSU rRNA". It matches the Rfam family "Bacterial small subunit ribosomal RNA", at positions 524 to 896 of the family's 1533-position model. The record is from RNAcentral.